CCCAAGAGAUCGGGAUAACACCUGGAAACAGAUGCUAAUACCGGAUAACAACAGAUGAUGCCUAUCAACUGUUUAAAAGAUGGUUCUGCUAUCACUCUUGGAUGGACCUGCGGUGCAUUAGCUAGUUGGUAGGGUAACGGCCUGCCAAGGCGAUGAUGCAUAGCCGAGUUGAGAGACUGAUCGGCCACAUUGGGACUGAGACACAGCCCAAACUCCUACGGGAGGCAGCAGCA
RNAcentral lists this ribosomal RNA (233 nucleotides) under uncultured Lactobacillus sp. Its description in RNAcentral is "partial 16S ribosomal RNA". It matches the Rfam family "Bacterial small subunit ribosomal RNA", at positions 129 to 355 of the family's 1533-position model. Lineage: Bacteria; Bacillati; Bacillota; Bacilli; Lactobacillales; Lactobacillaceae. The record is from RNAcentral.